Molecule: unclassified non-coding RNA, 726 nt
Filed under: Hevea brasiliensis (rubber tree)
Lineage: Eukaryota; Viridiplantae; Streptophyta; Magnoliopsida; Malpighiales; Euphorbiaceae
Source: RNAcentral
UGAAUAUACCGACGGACAGCACAUAGCCAAAUGCUUAUGUCCUCCGCACCUCCUAAAUAAUCGUACGGACCAUAGCAUCCCAGGAAUGUUAUUCCUUUAAUCUUGGCCGUCAAAUCAGAUUACUUUGCCUCUAAGUCGGUGAUUUUCCAUAGUCUGAUUAUCCUCCCCCAUAAAAAGAAUUCUGCUUUGUUCUUGAUCUCUCUCUCGUCUUCCCAGAUUCCAAAUUUCCCUUCACGUUAACCUAAACUAUAUCGAUUAGACGAUCGGGCUUGAAUCUCUAGAGGGUACGUUAAAGAAACCCAAUCAUCAUUCUAUUAAUGUCUAAUUUGUCUUUAGUUAGAUUUCUUUCUUGAAGUUUUCUCGUUCUCUUCUUAUAGGAUCAUUUGAUUUUUUGAAUUGAUUCUAACUGCCUUGCAUUCAUUAGUAUUUGAUCUUUCUUGUAUUUGUUUUGAUUUUCAGUUUAUGUUUAAUCUAGUUUGCUUCUUCAAUUAUUUGGGUUUCGUAGGUUUUGAAUUGUAGGGUUUCUUUGGGUUUUCGUUUGAUUCUCUUCAAAUUUUGUAUUUUGGGUUUAAAUUGCUUCUGGGUUUAAGUAAUUUUAGCAUUUUGAAUUAGGGGAUUUGGUUUUCAGCUCCCUUCAAUUUUUUGCUUAGGUUAACUAUUCUUUUUUAUGGCAUUUGAAUGCCAAGGAAGCACUGAGGUGUCGAAAAAUUACAAUUUUGAGGAUAA